CAGCCGCCGCGGUAAUACCGGCGGCUCGAGUGGUGGCCGACUUUAUUGGGCUUAAAGCGUCGUAGCUGGGUUAUUAAGUACCCUUGGGAAAUCCGACAGCUUAACUGUCGGGCGUCUAAGAGAUACUGGUAAUCUUGGAACCGGGAGAGGUGAGGGGUACUUCGGGGGUAGGAGUGAAAUCCUGUAAUCCUCGAGGGACCACCUGUGGCGAAGGCGCCUCACCGGAACGGCUUCGACAGUGAGGGACGAAAGCUGGGGAGCAAACCGGAUUAGAUACCCGGGUAGUCCCAGCCGUAAACGAUGUGCGUUAGGUGUAUCGGUGACCACGAGUCACCGAGGUGCCGAAGGGAAACCGUGAAACGUACCGCCUGGGAAGUACGGUCGCAAGGCUGAAACUUAAAGGAAUUGGCGGGGGAGCACCACAACAGGUGGAGCCUGCGGGUUUUUAAAAUUGGACUCAACGCCGGAAAUCUCACCGGAUAAGACAGCAGAAUGAUUGCCGGGCUGAAGACUCUGCAUGACUAGCUGAGAGGAGGUGCAUGG
Molecule: ribosomal RNA, 543 nt
Filed under: uncultured archaeon
Lineage: Archaea
Description: bacterial SSU rRNA
Rfam family: Archaeal small subunit ribosomal RNA
Source: RNAcentral